UAUUUCUCAUCCUUCCAGAUCUCCCUACUCACACAACUUCACGUUCUUUCUCUAUGUCUCUGUCUCUUUCUCAACAGCAAAAAUGGAAACAAUGGAAUGUCAUUAGGGCAGCCCCCAUGUCUAGGAGUGGUUGGCCAAACACCAACACAUCCCAUGGCUUUUGUCUGGGCAUGUGCUUUUUGUUUGGGUUUCGGGGGUUUUGCUGGUGGUGGUGGUUUUGUUGAGGGAUGGUUUGCUUUUCGUUUUCAUCUUAUGGGUUGGUUGUUGAGGUCUCACAUGUCCAAUGAUCUCUUGGUGGCACCCACGCUGUCGGUGCAGGUGCAGAACUGAGCACGUCGCAUGCACAUUUAAAUCUAGUGCUCAGAAACUGUGCUCCAGUUUAUGUGAAAAGGGUCAACUGAAAUUACAUGAAAUGGCCUUCAUCUAAUUAUAUAGGAUAUUAAGUUAAUAAGGAAACUUUAGACAUAAUUUUCUGAAAACAUAAUCUAGAAUACUUUAUUAAGCUCAUAAGAUCUAGUGACCAGGCUUGCUUGCUUGCUUUUGUAAGAGUAGCCACCCAAUGUCUAUUUGUGGGGCAGUUUUCUCCAUUUUCUGAGGAAGGACUUACUGAUUUUUCUCUAAAUUAUCAGCUUCUGAAGAGAUUUUGCAGUUACCAGUGGAUUCAGACUGCAGUUUUAAGGGGUGCAGAGAGACAGUGCAGGGAGCCUGGCCUUGGAGGAAGCACAAAUAGGUCACUGGAGUGUCAGAGUUCUCAAGUUCACCUAAACAAAAUCAGCCCCAAAGAGCGUUCACCGUCCUAGAGGACAUUAAUACAGAUCUCAGAGCUCCUUACUGGAGUUCUGUGUCCAGAGAAAUCCUCCGUGGACUAGCAGCGGCAUCCUAUUUCCAUUCAAGACGUACUCCAGUGCAGACAUGUUGCUGACUGCACACGCGAGACAGGUCUCAGCCACUGUGACUUGCACUUCUACACAAUGUUAAAAUGAAACCCACUGACCAGUUGUGCUGUGUGCCUCUAGUCCCAGCGCUCGACAGGUAGAAGCAGGAGGAUCAGGGGUUAAAGGCUAUAUAUGGAGAUCAAGUAUAUGUAUAUGGAGCUUCAACUGUAUAUGGAGAUCAAGGCUAGCCUGGGCUAUAGGAGACCCUGCCUCAAAAAAAAAAAAAAAAAA
This 1166-nucleotide long non-coding RNA is filed under the name Rattus norvegicus (Norway rat). RNAcentral's name for it is "long non-coding RNA NONRATT013918". Lineage: Eukaryota; Metazoa; Chordata; Mammalia; Rodentia; Muridae. The record is from RNAcentral.